RNAcentral lists this unclassified non-coding RNA (234 nucleotides) under uncultured Cryptococcus. RNAcentral's name for it is "sequence contains ITS2". Lineage: Eukaryota; Fungi; Basidiomycota; Tremellomycetes. The record is from RNAcentral.
AAAUAUCAACCUUGACAAGCUUGGGUUUUGUGCUCUAGUCUUGGCUUGGAAUUGGGUGCUUGCCGCUUUUACGAGCGGCUCACCUUAAAUGUAUUAGCUGGAUCUGUCUUUGAGACUUGGUUUGACUUGGCGUAAUAAGUAUUUCGCUAAGACAUUCUUCGGAGUGGCCUCGUUUCUAGGACGCUUGUCCGCUUCCCAAUACAAGUUCCACCUCGUGGACAUGACUUUUUUAUU